Molecule: ribosomal RNA, 416 nt
Filed under: uncultured bacterium
Lineage: Bacteria
Description: bacterial SSU rRNA
Rfam family: Bacterial small subunit ribosomal RNA
Source: RNAcentral
AGAGUUUGAUCCUGGCUCAGAUUGAACGCUGGCGGCACGCCUAACACAUGCAAGUCGAGCGGUAGCAUGCUUAGUAGCAAUACUAAGUGAUGACAAGCGGCGGACGGGUGAGGAAAACGUGGGAAUCUACCCUCAAGCGGGGGACAACCAAGGGAAACUUUGGCUAAUACCGCAUAAUCUCGAGAGAGCAAAGCUGCCGCAAGGUGGCACUUGAGGAGGAGCCUGCGUCCGAUUAGCUAGUUGGUGGGGUAAGAGCCUACCAAGGCGAUGAUCGGUAACUGGUCUGAGAGGACGACCAGUCACACUGGGACUGAGACACGGCCCAGACUCCUACGGGAGGCAGCAGUGGGGAAUAUUGGACAAUGGGGGCAACCCUGAUCCAGCGAUGCCGCGUGAGUGAAGAAGGCCUUCGGGUC